ACUCAACAGAGAUUCUUUUGAGAAGGAUGAGUUAAAGUUGUAAAAGCGCGCCGUCUUCGAGCGGAUUCUUGAUCAGCUUAUUAGUCCUAAACUUUUUUUUAAGGGAGUUU
Molecule: small RNA, 110 nt
Filed under: Flavobacteriaceae bacterium
Lineage: Bacteria; Pseudomonadati; Bacteroidota; Flavobacteriia; Flavobacteriales; Flavobacteriaceae
Also listed under: 1 other name
Description: 6S RNA
Rfam family: 6S-Flavo RNA
Source: RNAcentral